This 498-nucleotide ribosomal RNA is filed under the name uncultured bacterium. Its description in RNAcentral is "partial 16S ribosomal RNA". It matches the Rfam family "Bacterial small subunit ribosomal RNA", at positions 29 to 523 of the family's 1533-position model. The record is from RNAcentral.
AUUGAACGCUGGCGGCAUGCCUUACACAUGCAAGUCGAACGGUAACGCGGGGCAACCUGGCGACGAGUGGCGAACGGGUGAGUAAUGCAUCGGAACGUGCCUGGUAGUGGGGGAUAACUGCUCGAAAGAGCAGCUAAUACCGCAUACGACCUGAGGGUGAACGGGGGGGAUCGCAAGACCUCUCGCUAUCAGAGCGGCCGAUGUCGGAUUAGCUAGUUGGUGGGGUAAAGGCCCACCAAGGCGACGAUCCGUAGCUGGUCUGAGAGGACGACCAGCCACACUGGGACUGAGACACGGCCCAGACUCCUACGGGAGGCAGCAGUGGGGAAUUUUGGACAAUGGACGCAAGUCUGAUCCAGCCAUGCCGCGUGCGGGAAGAAGGCCUUCGGGUUGUAAACCGCUUUUGUCAGGGAAGAAAUCUUCUGGGUUAAUACCUCGGGAGGAUGACGGUACCUGAAGAAUAAGCACCGGCUAGCUACGUGCCAGCCGCCGCCGUAA